GACGAAAGCCGAACUCUGGCCGGAAGCCAGGAUGGUCCCGGCGACGGUCGUGGAUGUCGUGGUUUUUUUGCGUUUAACCUUCGGAUUCGAGGAGCCCGGAGAGAAUGAGGGACAGCGAGAAAGAGGGACACCGUUGCUUCCUAAGCCUUGCUGAAGACUCCACAUCUCAUAUAGAGAAAUGAUUUUUAUUCACCAGGAGGAGGACAUCCUAGGAGCAGGAAGUCGUAAUCAUGAAACAGCUUCUUUUAAUCAUUUAUAUCAAGUAAUCAUAUAGUGUAAUACUUGGAAGAUGAAGCCAAGUCUUUGUUGCGGAGAGAAUGGAUUGCGGGUAGAAUUGAUUGUAAAAUUAUUUUUUACAGAAGAGCAGGACAUAGAAGUUAUGAUCCAUAGACCUAUAUAGAUCGGUGACUGGAUGGGUAGAUUAUUUCCUAGCGAAGAGCAAAUGAAGAGCAAUUUCUUCAGGCAAUCAACAAUUCACAACCCACAAUAAUUCCUGCAAGUAUGAAGAGAUAAAAGUUGCCAAAACAAUCUAGUAUCUUUCGGGAAUCUAGGCGCGAUCGCGUUUAGAUUCAGUUAUAAAUACUUUGGUUCGACCGCGCUCGCGGCAUUAUUCUUAUUAGAAUUAUACAAGACAUACAUUUUCUUCGAGAACAAAAAUAGUCGACUGGCGGAUAUCCAAAUAUGAUAUCAGGCAUGAUCUCGAGGACAAUCCAUUGCGAGCAAUCUGCCGGGAAUCUGUUCUUCGGUGUCAUCUCGGUUUCACCCUUCAUUAAGCGCGAUUAAUAAGCGCGAGCAAUCCAAGUCUUUCCAAAGACUUCUCGAUAUUACUAAUCCCUCAUCUUUUAUUAAUGAAAUUUCGUCACACGAUGAUGAUAUCUUCCUCCUAAUUAUCAUUGCCACUGAAGUAAUCAAUUUUGGGAGGAACAAUUGAAACUUGCCUCAAACUGCAUAUUAGAAAGUAUGUUUUCAUAAUUGCUACCCUAAUUGUUUAUGAUCAUUGUUCCAUAAUGCCACAUUUGUGAGAAAAGUAAAAAAAGCCGGGCUUUUGUAAUGUAAAUUUCACGCAAAUUUACUGCGUAUUCACUGCCACCACGUGCACGCAUAAUACAGAAUCCAAGCGAGGGGUUAUCGUUGCCGGGACAUCGAUGGCGCGAUCACGUUCCAAGUGUAAGCGUACCUUGAGAGUUGCGAAAGAGAAUGCGCGAGAAAGAGUCGGGUCAACGAUCAGUUUCUCGAAUUCGAAAUACAUUUAAUGUACAUGCACGGGGUGUCCCGGCUGCGGCACGUCGUGCGCUUCGUGAGAUAUCACUCGCGCGCGUACGCCUCGGCGAAUCUGCCAAAUGCUCCUCCGGUUAUCUCGUGUGCACCACGUCAGGACAGCUUUGCAGGCUCGCUGCUCGCUGGAUGUAACAUAAUGUGACGAGUCAAAGUGCAAGGUACACAUUGUCCCAGUUUUGCGAAUGUCCUUCAGUGCUGCUGUCAGGAUCAGCCGUGACUUAUCAUGCGAGGUCGCUUGGCUUGACCCUGUUUGAACGUCAUUGAAAAAGAUGAAAACAUGAAUAUUGAAACAAGUGUCCUUGUAUAAUUAAUAAAUACAUAUUGUGCUUCGCUGCAAGAGACUCUAAUUUAAUUUCACAAUUGUGAUCACAAUUUUGUAAAAUUUUGCGAGAUUUAACGAUGGGAAGCGACAGAGCAGUGUACGCGACGACUGAUAUUAAAGAUGCAUGUUUUAUUGUAUGUUCAGUGAUAAAUGGAUUAUUUAUAAUUUAUUCAAGAUUAUCAAUAAUGGACUACGCAAAAUAUAUCAGCUGCUGCAUGUAUACUGGCAUUUAUACUCCCUGCUGAUGAAAGGCGUUCGUGAUCAAUAACGGAUUGACGCGCGUGGACUUUUUAAAAUUCUCGUUGCGAAAGAAGAGGAUGAGAAUAGAUUGCCCAGGACAUCGGAGAGAUAAGUGCGAAAAAGUGUGUCAUAAAGGCGGGUGCUUUCCAAGAAGAACUCUUCGUCGCAAUAUACUUCAAAGAUGAAGCAACGAGAGCAGUCUGGACGCUGGAUAAACAUGUCGGUGCCAUAUACGUUUUAUCGCGAAAGUUAGUGCCUUGAAUACGUUUGUUUUAAAUACAUCAAUGAACGUGCGGUGUUGGCGAUUACGUUUCGGUAACAGUGUUCUAGAAAUACUUGCACAGACAUGUCUGUUUUCUCAAUAUUAAAAGCUAUAACCAGUAAUAUAUUAGCAUCAAGUCACGCGAUAUGAACCGUAUUACUUUUUCCAGAUCGCCUUUUAAUUAUAAAGUACAACGUUAAACAUUCAUAACACUGGCUCUUCGUCAUCAACCACAUCCACAACUUUUUCGUUAAAUCUUUUAGAGUAACCAUCACCGUUUAUCCAAUUAACAUUCGCAAAUGUUGAUAUCUUAUAAUCUAUUUAUUAUUUAAGAAUAUUAAUAAUCGAGACAGUCUUAAUUAUAAGAUGAUUAUAAGGAUAUUGAUAAUCCAGACAGUCUUAAUUACAAGAUGAUUUUAUAAUUAAGACUGUCUGGAUUAUCAAUAUUCUUAAAUAAUAAAUUUUAUAUUUUAUCAGAGAUACAAAGUAGUAAGAUAAGAAAAUUUACUACGAUUUAUUUUGGACAAAAGAUAUAUUCAUACUAGAGCAAUAGCUACAGGUCUGAGAGCAAGUAUCUAUCGAGAUUAAACAAAUAUACAGCCAUCGCGAGUCGAAUAACGGAAACAGGCGUGUGCACGGUGAACUGACAAGACGGCGGCCCUUGAAUUUGCAACACAACCACCGCCUCGGCGUUCGGUUGGGAGACCAAACUGUCGGAACCAGUUGGACAGUCGUCUGCCAUGAAACAUUCGCGCUAUCAGCAUUCUCUCAUUAUAGCAAACGAAAAUAGACGUUGUUACUUCGUCGCUUACGCUGACCGGCGGUUCAAAGCGCGCGGUGUUAUUCUUAGCCGAAAUUCAAAGUCUUACGUAAAACCGGCCCGCGAUGUAGGUAUGUAUAACGAUGUGCUUCGCAGCGUCAUUAGGCCAACGAUGUUUCUUCAUGCUCGAUGUCUCGGGUCCAUUCGCUCAUCCGGGUAGAUUCAUCAACCCGGAAGAAGCUGUACCGUCUUACAAGCAGUCCGAAUAGCUAUUCUGGGCAGGUUGCUAUCUCGGCGAAGGUACAUGUGGCAUAAGUCAAAAGAGAGGGAAAGCUUAUGACUCUCUCCCGCGCAAUAAUUUAAUUAAUCGAUAACUUAAUCGAAUAUCGAUUACUUUUAUUCGGCAAUAUUUUUCGGUGGAUAACUGCCGUAGAAAAAAAGAUUUAUGUUAGAUAUAAAUUUAGGAAGAAUGAUGGGACGUCGCUCUUUGUUCCGAGUUUUGACACGAAUAUGGCUAACUGCGGUACUUUUGAUGACCCAGGAAAUGGUGUGUACUGCUUUUACGACGACAGUAUAGUCAAAAAGGCCAUUUAAUAAUAGUUUAUCAGACCGAACACGUGUUUCGAUGUACUUUAUUCGCCGCUAACGCGAAUUUUAGAGAAGUCGUUCUAAUUAUAGAACCGGGGAACAUUACGGGCACGCGCGCCGUCGGUGCUGUAAAAAGAGAGAGAGGGAGAGGGAGUCAUAUUUAUUUAUAACGAUUUUUAUAAAUGACGUGCUAAACAGUUAGAAUGAAACCACCUGCCAGACGAACGAUCGAUCAUAACGUAUCUUGAAGUGAGUACAAACACUGACAGACCAAUGAAAUGCCGUCCGCGGCUCGGUACGUUCCUCUCGAUUGAAGAUACACGUGUAUGAAUAAUUGCCACUUGAUUGCUUCGUUCACGAAUCUCUCCCGAUAGUCGACGUUCCACGCUACAUUAAAUUCUUUGAUCCAGCGUUGAUUGUCAAUUACGAGCCUCGAUGCAACGGCGACCCGAGAUUCAAUCACGUCGAGCACCACGCGUGAUCCAUCGCAAUGAUCUUCAUCGAAGCGAUAAACACAUGACGCUAAAUCAUCAGCAUACGUACUCCCGCACUUCGCUAGAGAUACCCGGAAGAGAAGUGAAGAAAAUGCGCGGCAACGCACAGCAUCUCGGACUCUCUCGCGCCAGCUUCGAGUCGUCACAAUGCCU
Ooceraea biroi (clonal raider ant) is the source of this 4097-nucleotide long non-coding RNA. RefSeq lists it as uncharacterized. The record is from RefSeq and is a predicted model, not a curated record. NCBI's taxonomy places the organism in Eukaryota, Metazoa, Arthropoda, Insecta, Hymenoptera, Formicidae.